AUACGUAGGGGGCAAGCGUUAUCCGGAUUUACUGGGUGUAAAGGGAGCGUAGACGGUUCUGCAAGUCUGGAGUGAAAGCCCGGGGCUCAACCCCGGGACUGCAUUUGAAACUGCCGUACUAGAGUGCAGGAGAGGUAAGUGGAAUUCCUAGUGUAGCGGUGAAAUGCGUAGAUAUUAGGAGGAACACCAGUGGCGAAGGCGGCUUACUGGACUGUAACUGACACUGAGGCUCGAAAGCGUGGGGAGC
Molecule: ribosomal RNA, 247 nt
Filed under: uncultured bacterium
Lineage: Bacteria
Description: partial 16S ribosomal RNA
Rfam family: Bacterial small subunit ribosomal RNA
Source: RNAcentral